AUUUAUCCAUGUUAACGUUUUGUUUUUAGUUUGGGGCUCAUAGGAAUCAUACUGCCAUGAAUUUCUUCGUAUGUAUCUUGUGGUGCAAUUGCUGGGUCAGAGGGUAAAGAUAUGUUGCUCAUUUUUAGGAAAUACUGCCAGUUCUCCACAGAACAAGAACGAAGUGACACUCUUACCAGCAGAGGAUCAAAGCCCCUGACAACAGUGGUGAGUGUAAGUGACGGCAGUGACCAAAACCGAACGAGAGAUGCCGCUGCCCUACAGGAGUCCACAGACCACGGGACUUAGACAGCAAAGAUUUGCUCUCAAAGGAAUGUUCAAGAAGGAGUGGCAGUAAGAAGGACAGCAUCUAAAGAC
Long non-coding RNA from Aethalodelphis obliquidens (Pacific white-sided dolphin), 357 nucleotides. RefSeq lists it as uncharacterized. The transcript is spliced from 2 exons. The record is from RefSeq and is a predicted model, not a curated record. NCBI's taxonomy places the organism in Eukaryota, Metazoa, Chordata, Mammalia, Artiodactyla, Delphinidae.